AACGAACGCUGGCGGCGCGCCUAAUACAUGCAAGUCGAGCGAGAAGACGUAGCAAUACGUUUGUAAAGCGGCGAACGGGUGAGGAAUACAUGGGUAACCUACCCUCGAGUGGGGAAUAACUAGCCGAAAGGUUAGCUAAUACCGCGUACGCUCCUUGGACUUCGGUUCAGGGAGGAAAGCGAUACCGUGGGUAUCGCGCUCUUGGAUGGGCUCAUGUCCUAUCAGCUUGUUGGUGAGGUAACGGCUCGCCAAGGCUUCGACGGGUAGCUGGUCUGAGAGGACAAUCAGCCACACUGGCACUGCGACACGGGCCAGACUCCUACGGGAGGCAGCAGUAAGGAAUAUUGCGCAAUGGGCGAAAGCCUGACGCAGCGACGCCGCGUGGGGGAUGAAGGUCUUCGGAUUGUAAACCCCUUUCGGGAGGGAAGAUGGAACGAGCAAUCGUUCGGACGGUACCUCCAGAAGCAGCCACGGCUAACUUCGUGCCAGCAGCCGCGGU
This 499-nucleotide ribosomal RNA is filed under the name uncultured bacterium. Its description in RNAcentral is "bacterial SSU rRNA". It matches the Rfam family "Bacterial small subunit ribosomal RNA", at positions 29 to 521 of the family's 1533-position model. The record is from RNAcentral.